Molecule: RNA transcript, 3354 nt
Organism: Esox lucius (northern pike)
Lineage: Eukaryota; Metazoa; Chordata; Actinopteri; Esociformes; Esocidae
Exons: 12
Source: RefSeq, a predicted model, not a curated record
AAAUGCAUUACUCUGCACAACUUUUAUUUUGAAAGUGUCAUCCUGUUUGAUUGGAGUAGGAGUAUGUCAUGCAUGCUAAUGUCUUAAAGAGGAAGGAAAGGAUAAUUUUGUCUCAGCGACUUGUGCCCUGAAUAUGUUGGAUAUUGGCAUACGCACGGUUCAUUGUUUCUACAUUCACACAGUUACUUUUAGAUUCUAUAGAUAUCUUUAACUAGACCUCCAUCCUUAGCUCGCUCAUCUCGUGAAAUUAGUGAUGCACCUUACGCUGUGGUAAUAAUAAACCCUUUGGACUCAAUUCAAUUGUCACGGUUCAAAUAAGAAUAUUUUUAUUAUGGUUAUUCAAACAGAUUUGUUCCAAUGUAGGUAUUCACCAGACAAAGAGUGAGUUGUUGUUUAACAAAGGCCUUGGGAACAGCAGGAAGGAUGUGGGUGGGUGCUAUCUGGUCUCUGGUGUGGGCUGAAUCAUUGGUUUGCCACAAAAAGAGAUGGGCGAUGCAAUUUAAAAAUGCAUGAAAUAUAUGUGCUAUUGUGCCAUAAAUAUCUGUUUCAAGUUUAAGUGAUGUGAGAUAUGCUGGAAGUUUGAGUCCAAAAUAUGAGUCCAAAAAGUGUCUAGAGAAUUAGAUUCAGGAAGCACACAUUUCACUCUGAGGUUUCCAUUAACACUCACCACAUUAACUCCAGCAACAGAGUGUGGACAAACAAGCCAAGUGACAUUGUCUCCCAUCAACAAAGUGUGAGGACAGGAAGUGAUAGUGACCUGUAUCAUCCCCUGUAGUUUGAGUGACAACCAACACCAUGCCUACGUCUGGUAAAACACUGAGUUCAUUCCAAUUCUCUGCUAUCAGUUAUCAUUAAUGUGCCAAUAGGACUACAAGUCUUUCUGUGUGUAGUCAAUGUUGUCCUUGUUUCAUCUAUUGGAUGUCUUUACCUAAUUCUAACCCCGGGCAACCCCAUUUCAACAUCUUCUAACUAGUUUAACGGAAUAUUCAGAUCAGGUCUUCAAAGUUUUAAGUGUAUCCGGCUGGGAUGAUUCUUUACAUCACCACAGCAGAUCUUACAUUCCAACCAGAGCCGGGCAUGUUUUCUAGUUCUAAUGUAUCUUAAAGAGGAAGAAUGAAGAAAGAACUCCUCCCACAGCUACUUGGGACCAGACAAUUUGUAAUACAUAUGUGCCCACCACUGCCAUCAUGUUUCCUCCUUGCCAGAUAGUUGUCUUACAAAAUUUCAACCCUUUGCUAUGUAAGUAUUUUUUACGAGGUCUUGCUAUAUUGUGUUUGGUACUAUGUUCUAGAGAAAGAAACCAUCUUUUUAUUGAUGAUAAUGAUAAUCAAAGGAACCCAGGUACUGUGAAGCAUUACAAAGUAUAAAUGUGUUUUCAGUGUUACACAGACAGUUUGAUCCGUUCAUUUUCAUUUGUAGUGAUUGUUCACCUCUCAUUUGAUAUGUGAUGCAGAGAGAGAGAGAGGUAAAACAAUGUCUUUGAGAACAGCUGGAAUUGUGUUGAUGGUCAUAUUCUGGUCUGUGACAGGUCAGGACUAUGGUGUGACCUACACCACUCACAGUAUCUGUGCCUUGAAGGGGUCAACAGUGGAGCUGAGCUGCACCUACAAGUAUCCAAAAAAGGAUAAAGUCACAUCAACCUUCUGGUUCACUAGAAAAGAUUCUCGGGGGAAAUUUGUGAGUCUGAGAGAUGAUGAUGACUACAAAAGUCGUGUGAAGUAUAAUAAUGAUGAACCAGAGUCCCGUAAAACUACGGAGAAAAGACACUUCCUAACAAUCGGGGGAGUCAGAGAGAGCGACUCGGCUAAAUACAUGUUCAGAUUCAUCACAAGUUCAAAUAAAUAUUUUGGAAAUACAGGCAUCAGACUUUCUGUCUCAGGCCUGCAGGUGACGUUUCCAAGCACAGUGAUAGAAGGACAGGGAGUUUCCCUGACCUGUAGCCCCACCUGUCCUCUAACUGACAACUCCAAACUCUCUUACAUCUGGUACAAGAACGGACACCUUCUAACUAACGAACACAAUGACCUAAACCUACACACAGUCAUUGGUGACGCGGACAACUACUCCUGUGCUGUAAAAGGCAGAGAGAUGCUCCGCUCUCCUGAAUUUACUCUCAAUGUCAGAUGGGAACAAACAUCUUUGAGGAAGCCAGUGGCAGGAAUCACAGUGAUUGUUCUGUUUCUCAUCUUCUGUCUCUCUGGAUUCAUCUGGUCCAAGAGAAAGGCCUUCAAAACCACCAAUGACACAAGAGACAUAUCAGAUAAUGGGCAGAGACAGUCUGCCCAUGUGUAUGAGAUCAUCUCAGACUUGGCCGUGGCCCCGACUGCAGCACAGACAACAGACACAGUCAAACAGGAAGACGCCUAUUACAGCAGUGUUCACUACAGAAGCCAGGACGUGCCUCUGUACUCCACCGUCCAACUGCCUGAAGCCCAGAAACAGGAAGGCCAGCUGGCUGCUGCAAAACUCAACCACCCCAGUGCCCCCAUCUAUUCAAUACAGCUCCCCCUUCACUUCACGCUGGCCAGUUCAACCUCACUCUUAGGCUUCAUUUGGUUCACAAGAACGACUCCAAAUCCACCUCUGACAGGCAAGAAUAAGCCGUGACUGGACAGACAGACUCCAAUCCUGUGUAUAGCAACGUAUCAGACAUGGCCUUGACCUCUACUGCAGCACAGACAGCAGACACAGACAACCAGGAUCUCCUCCAAUAUUCCAGUGUCCACUUCUCUUCCUCCAAGAAACAGGAAGUAACUCGGAGGAAGUAUAAUGCGGUCAGGACGCCUGCCCAGAUUACCAGUCCUUUUAAACCAACCACUGACCUGACUGUCUUCAGCUUUUCUUGUUUGGAACGAGAAACAGUAAAAGGAUCUCUUCCCUUCAUUCUGCGCCCCGUGUCCUGCCUCCUCAGCCGUGACAGAAUGACCGACCAAACCAGGACAAUGUAGCAAGCCACGGCUGAGGAGACCCACCGUGUGUUUGAGAAGGUUUGGGGUCGAUGUCCCUGGGUCCCUGGGUCCCUGGGUCCCUGGCCAGAGGAUCCAAAGCCCCAAAGCAGGCGGCAACACCGGCGGAAACCAAGUCGGAGUUCCCGGACGCAGGCCCAGCGACCAGCCCAAUAGAUGUAUCUAUUUUUUUUUGGGGGGGGGGGCCCUGGGAGCAGGAGUAUCCAGAGUCAUCGGAGGAGGAAGACGAGGUAUUCCUGCCACCACACUGGGAGGAGAGACUCUUCCGCCUCCCACGCUCGGGACCAGGUGCCACUUAUGCUACACACCACGCACCAGGGCUCCUGCAACGGUCCCCCUGCCCGGAGCCUCCCUCGGAGGGGUGGGACGACAAGCCACUGUCGCCACC